Molecule: ribosomal RNA, 500 nt
Filed under: uncultured bacterium
Lineage: Bacteria
Description: bacterial SSU rRNA
Rfam family: Bacterial small subunit ribosomal RNA
Source: RNAcentral
GACGAACGCUGGCGGCGUGCCUAAUACAUGCAAGUCGAGCGGAAUGAUGAAGAAGCUUGCUUCUUCUGAUUUUAGCGGCGGACGGGUGAGUAACACGUGGGCAACCUACCUUGUAGAUUGGGAUAACUCCGGGAAACCGGGGCUAAUACCGAAUAAUCCAUUUUGCUUCAUGACGAGAUGUUGAAAGACGGUUUCGGCUGUCACUAUAAGAUGGGCCCGCGGCGCAUUAGCUAGUUGGUAGGGUAAUGGCCUACCAAGGCGACGAUGCGUAGCCGACCUGAGAGGGUGAUCGGCCACACUGGGACUGAGACACGGCCCAGACUCCUACGGGAGGCAGCAGUAGGGAAUCUUCCACAAUGGACGAAAGUCUGAUGGAGCAACGCCGCGUGAGUGAAGAAGGUUUUCGGAUCGUAAAACUCUGUUGUAAGGGAAGAACACGUACGAGAGUAACUGCUCGUACCUUGACGGUACCUUAUUAGAAAGCCACGGCUAACUACGUG